Molecule: ribosomal RNA, 429 nt
Filed under: Bacteroidota bacterium
Lineage: Bacteria; Pseudomonadati; Bacteroidota
Description: Bacteroidetes bacterium partial 16S ribosomal RNA
Rfam family: Bacterial small subunit ribosomal RNA
Source: RNAcentral
UAGGGAAUCUUCCGCAAUGGACGCAAGUCUGACGGAGCAACGCUGCGUGAGUGAAGAAGGAUUUCGGUUCGUAAAACUCUGUUGUUAGAGAAGAACAGCGCAUAGAGUAACUGUUAUGCGUGUGACGGUAUCUAACCAGAAAGCCACGGCUAACUACGUGCCAGCAGCCGCGGUAAUACGUAGGUGGCAAGCGUUGUCCGGAUUUAUUGGGCGUAAAGCGAGCGCAGGCGGUCAAUUAAGUCUGAUGUGAAAGCCCCCGGCUCAACCGGGGAGGGUCAUUGGAAACUGGUUGACUUGAGUGCAGAAGAGGCGAGUGGAAUUCCAUGUGUAGCGGUGAAAUGCGUAGAUGUAUGGAGGAACGCCAGUGGCGAAGGCGACUCUCUGGUCUGUAACUGACGCUGAGGCUCAAAAGCGUGGGUAGCAAACAGG